This 344-nucleotide ribosomal RNA is filed under the name uncultured bacterium. RNAcentral's name for it is "partial 16S ribosomal RNA". It matches the Rfam family "Bacterial small subunit ribosomal RNA", at positions 338 to 693 of the family's 1533-position model. The record is from RNAcentral.
CCUACGGGUGGCAGCAGUCGAGAAUCAUUCACAAUGGGGGAAACCCUGAUGGUGCGACGCCGCGUGGGGGAAUGCAGGUCUUCGGAUUGUAAACCCCUGUCAUGUGGGAGCAAAUUAAAAAGAUAGUACCCCACGAGGAAGAGACUGCUAACUCUGUGCCAGCAGCCGCGGUAAUACAGAGGUCUCAAGCGUUGUUCGGAAUCACUGGGCUUAAAGCGUGCGUAGGCUGUUUCGUAAGUCGUGUGUGAAAGGCGCGGGCUCAACCCGCGGACGGCACAUGGUACUGGGAGACUAGAGUAUGGGAGGGGGAACCGGAAUUGGUGGUGGAGCAGGGAAAUGCGUAG